Molecule: ribosomal RNA, 1434 nt
Filed under: uncultured organism
Description: 16S ribosomal RNA
Rfam family: Bacterial small subunit ribosomal RNA
Source: RNAcentral
CAGGCUUAACACAUGCAAGUCGAGGGGCAGCAUGGUCUUAGCUUGCUAAGGCCGAUGGCGACCGGCGCACGGGUGAGUAACGCGUAUCCAACCUGCCUUACACUCUUGGACAGCCUUCUGAAAGGGAGAUUAAUACAAGAUGUUAUCAUGAGUAAGCAUUUUCGCAUGAUUAAAGGUUUACCGGUGUAAGAUGGGGAUGCGUUCCAUUAGAUAGUAGGCGGGGUAACGGCCCACCUAGUCUUCGAUGGAUAGGGGUUCUGAGAGGAAGGUCCCCCACAUUGGAACUGAGACACGGUCCAAACUCCUACGGGAGGCAGCAGUGAGGAAUAUUGGUCAAUGGACGAGAGUCUGAACCAGCCAAGUAGCGUGAAGGAUGAAGGUUCUAUGGAUUGUAAACUUCUUUUAUACGGGAAUAAACGGAUCCACGUGUGGAUUUUUGCAUGUACCGUAUGAAUAAGGAUCGGCUAACUCCGUGCCAGCAGCCGCGGUAAUACGGAGGAUCCGAGCGUUAUCCGGAUUUAUUGGGUUUAAAGGGAGCGUAGAUGGGUUGUUAAGUCAGUUGUGAAAGUUUGCGGCUCAACCGUAAAAUUGCAAUUGAUACUGGCAGUCUUGAGUACAGUUGAGGUAGGCGGAAUUCGUGGUGUAGCGGUGAAAUGCUUAGAUAUCACGAAGAACUCCGAUUGCGAAGGCAGCUUACUAACCUGUAACUGACAUUGAUGCUCGAAAGUGUGGGUAUCAAACAGGAUUAGAUACCCUGGUAGUCCACACGGUAAACGAUGAAUACUCGCUGUAGGCGAUAUACAGUCUGCGGCCAAGCGAAAGCAUUAAGUAUUCCACCUGGGGAGUACGCCGGCAACGGUGAAACUCAAAGGAAUUGACGGGGGCCCGCACAAGCGGAGGAACAUGUGGUUUAAUUCGAUGAUACGCGAGGAACCUUACCCGGGCUUAAAUUGCAACCGAAUAUGGCGGAAACGCUAUAGCUAGCAAUAGCGGUUGUGAAGGUGCUGCAUGGUUGUCGUCAGCUCGUGCCGUGAGGUGUCGGCUUAAGUGCCAUAACGAGCGCAACCCUUGCCGAUAGUUACUAACAGGUCAUGCUGAGGACUCUGUCGGGACUGCCAUCGUAAGAUGUGAGGAAGGUGGGGAUGACGUCAAAUCAGCACGGCCCUUACGUCCGGGGCUACACACGUGUUACAAUGGGGGGUACAGAGGGCUGCUACCACGCAAGUGGAUGCCAAUCCCAAAAACCUCUCUCAGUUCGGAUUGAAGUCUGCAACCCGACUUCAUGAAGCUGGAUUCGCUAGUAAUCGCGCAUCAGCCACGGCGCGGUGAAUACGUUCCCGGGCCUUGUACACACCGCCCGUCAAGCCAUGGGAGCCGGGGGUACCUGAAGUGCGUAACCGCAAGGAGCGCCCUAGGGUAAAACUGGUGACUGGG